Molecule: long non-coding RNA, 1649 nt
Organism: Zingiber officinale
Lineage: Eukaryota; Viridiplantae; Streptophyta; Magnoliopsida; Zingiberales; Zingiberaceae
Exons: 2
Source: RefSeq, a predicted model, not a curated record
GCAAAAAAACCUGCUGCACUUACACAUCAGCAGCAGGUAAAAAAAAAAAACCUCUCCACAAACCCUAACUGAAGCAGCGCCGACUCCUCUCCUCAUCGCUUCCUUCUCCUCCCUCUCCGAAUCCCCUCCUCUCUCGCCGAAGUUCGUCGCUAAGCAGAGCCGCCCUCCUCUCCUCUCGCCGAAGCUCGUCGCGAAGCAGAGCCGCCCUCCUCCUCGUCGCGAAGCAGAGUUGCUUCGCCCUCCUCUCCUCGUCGCGAAGCAGAGCCGCCUCCCUCUCUCACCGAAGCUCGUCGCGAAGCAGAGCCGCCCUCCUCUCCUCGUCGCGUUCCUCUCUCGCCGCGAGACCCCUCUCUCGCUCGCGAGACCCCUCGUCACAUUCUCUCGCAGCUGAUCUUCUUCGACACUAGGGCAUUUCUCUCCGCCGAACUAGGUGGCCUCUACUUCAGUGGCUCUGCAGGAUAUCAGUUUCUUACCGGAGAGUCAAAGAGCAAUCAUCCCAAGGCUGAACAAGAAGCAGCAUUUCAGUGGAAGCAUGAUUGAAACAAACAAGUUCAAAGAGGCGACUGGAAGGAGUUCCUAAGUUGAAGCGAUCAUCUUCCUUCAAUGAGGAUAGGUAAUCCAGACUCAACUCUUAAUAUUAUUGAUUUACUAAAUCGAUCAUAUUAACACAAAGCACCAACUUUUUUACUUGAAAUCUUGAUGAAAUUGUUGCUUUUACGUGACCUAUUUGCAAUAGGCUUGUUUUACACUUACCUUACUCAAUGGAACAGUGUUCAGUCCUCGGAUGCUCAUGUUAGUCUUCUAAAUUAUACUAUUUUUUAUGCAUGAAAUUCCCAAUAUGUAGGAGCUACGAUAUGCCUUGUUCAACAAGGGAGAGUGAAAAGAUUGGGGAUUCAUCUCAACCGAAGUACCCCUCCGGGGCUUCCAAAAACAUAUCCGACAUGAACUCCAUGUCUGAUGAUAAUGCAACAAAGAUAUCCCCCGUUUCAGAUGCAAGAAAGUCCUCUGCAUGGAUGGACAUUCCUAGGUCUUCGCCUCUCCGUUCGUCAACUGAUGGAAGUAAAAGAUCAAGAGAGUGUGACCCAGUUAAGGGCUCAUCCAUUGGGUUAAAGUCUUUCCAAGAAUUCAAAGAGAAGGUGAUCAGGAUCGAAGAAAGUUGAGUUAUAUAUAUUGUUAUCACUAAACUUGUUUUGGUUUUUAAUUUCUUUCCUUCAACUUCGAUUUGGUGCCUAUUGCUGCAGGCUUACUUCUGGAGCUAGGGUUAUAAUAGUAUCUAGAUCUGAUGAUAAUGAAAAUUUUUGACUUCCGAAUUCCAACAAAUAUAUGCAUUAUCUCUCUCAGUUCGCAAUCGUAGAGCAUUGAAGUUCUUGCAAGUGCCAUUGGUUCGACACGUCGUUCCUCAACUUAUUUGAGCUAUUUCAGAAGCAUUGAUUUGCUUUCUUCUACCAACCAUUGUUAUAUUCUUCUAAUUUCCUCGAAGAUAAACUAAAUUUUCUCUUUAUUUCAGUGGCUUGAUAAUUAUGUGCAUGCUGUUUCGAUACACUAUGUACUAUGUAGAAUUAACAGAGCAGCUCCUACUUUAUUAACUAGGUCCUUCGACACACUUUGAUUAGAACACUUAGCUUAUGAUAUUAACUUUCUUCGUCGCA